RNAcentral lists this ribosomal RNA (406 nucleotides) under uncultured bacterium. RNAcentral's name for it is "bacterial SSU rRNA". It matches the Rfam family "Bacterial small subunit ribosomal RNA", at positions 356 to 774 of the family's 1533-position model. The record is from RNAcentral.
GGGGAAUAUUGCACAAUGGGCGCAAGCCUGAUGCAGCAACGCCGCGUGAGGGACGACGGCCUUCGGGUUGUAAACCUCUUUUGGCAGGGAAGAAGCGAAAGUGACGGUACCUGCAGAAAAAGCACCGGCUAACUACGUGCCAGCAGCCGCGGUGAUACGUAGGGUGCAAGCGUUGUCCGGAAUUAUUGGGCGUAAAGAGCUCGUAGGCGGUUUGUCGCGUCUGCUGUGAAAACCCGAGGCUCAACCUCGGGCCUGCAGUGGGUACGGGCAAACUAGAGUGCGGUAGGGGAGAUUGGAAUUCCUGGUGUAGCGGUGGAAUGCGCAGAUAUCAGGAGGAACACCGAUGGCGAAGGCAGAUCUCCGGGCCGUAACUGACGCUGAGGAGCGAAAGCAUGGGGAGCGAACA